This 2049-nucleotide long non-coding RNA is filed under the name Anas platyrhynchos (mallard). RNAcentral describes it as "lncRNA (ENSAPLG00020005216.1)". Lineage: Eukaryota; Metazoa; Chordata; Aves; Anseriformes; Anatidae. The record is from RNAcentral.
GAUGUCCCCCCGGAUGGCCACCCUCAUCCACACCAAGGCGGUGACGGGCAGCUCGUGCUGCGCCCUGCCCUGCAGCGAGGACGUGUCAGAGGAGCUGAGCGAGGAGGAGAGCGGCAUCGCGCGGAGAGCCCAGCGCGCGGCGCUGGAGGUGCUGGAGGACGCGCUGAGGAAGGAGCGGGUGCUGAUGAGGAACCUGAAGGACGUGGUGGUGCUGGCCGGGGAGGGCCAGGGGGGCGAGGGCUGGGUGGAGCGCUACGCCAUGCUCACCAAGAAGCUGCUGCGCAGCCUCGUCUCCCAGCUGCAGCAGGCGGCUUUCCGCAAAAACCCCCGCCGCGCCGGCUCCUACGCCUACGUCAAGAAGAACGCCUGCGACCGCACCAUCUACCUCUGCCCCCUCUUCUGGCAGGCCCCCAGCGAGCUGGAGAAGGACUCGCAGCCCGGGACGCUCAUCCACGAGGCAUCGCACUUCCUGGGCUUGCACGACAUCACCUACGCCACGGCCAGCUUUCGGGCCGGGGGCGGCGGCGCGGCCAUCUGGACCGAGCGGCGCGUGCCCCUCUUCGAGGCCCUGCGGAAGGCGCUGCUCAACGCCAACAGCAUCGAGUACGAGUUCGAGAUCGUGCUGAGGCACCGGCAGCCCUACCGGGCCGGGCGCUACGCCUGCUGCGGGGAGACAGCCAGGAACUCCGUCUGCGAGAACGCCCUGCCCCACGGGGGGCUCUCCUGCGGGGCCCCCGAGAGCCCCGCAGCCAGCCGGAGCACCAUCGGGGACACGGUGCGCCUGUCCCUGCUGCCCGCCCGGGACGCCAUGCGGAGCUGCCUGCAGGACAUGCGGCGCGCGGCGGAGGCCACGGAGCGGUGCCACCGGGCGGCGGCGGUGGCCAACGUCACCGGCGGGGUGCUGGGGGUGACGGGGGGGGCCACGGCCAUCGCGGGGCUGCUGCUGGCCCCCACGGCGCUGGGCACGGCGCUGCUGCUGUCGGCCGUGGGCUUCGGCGUCUCGCUGCUCGGGAGCCUCGUCGGUGCCACCGCCACCGUCAGCGACAGCCUGGGGUGCCUGGCGAGGAAGGACGGGGCGGAGGCGCUGCUGGAGGAGUUCGGGGCGCAGGAGGAGGUGUUCACGGGCAGCCGGGAGCACGUGGAGAGGGCGCGGAGGCUGCUGGAGGUGCUGGGGAAGGACGAGAGCCUGGACGUCAUCCUGGGGGUGUUCAGGGUGGUGACAGGGCUGGGGCGCAGCGUCCUCAACGGCAGCAGUGUGGCCAGGGCCAGCGCAGCGCUGGCUGGGGCCAGCCGUGCCGUGAGCCUCACCGGGACGGCCGCAGCAGCUCCUCCUCGGCCUCUCCUUGGCCCUGGACAUCUUUUUUGUCACCAAGGACUCGGCUCACCUGUCCCGCGGCGCGCGGGCAGAGCUGGCGGGGAGCAUCCGCGCGGCGGCAGGCGUGCUGGAGAGGGACUUCGGUGUCAUCGACGAGUUCUGCCAGAAAAUAAACCUCAUUCUGGAGGAGCAGGAGUGAGGCUGGGCGCAAGGAAAGGCCGAGCCUCACACCUGGCUGCUCUGGGAAGGCUGCCAGCGAGGCGAUGGGAUGCGCCCCAGGAGCCCUCUGAGAGCGUGGUGUGUGACCCAGCACGGAGCCCAGGGCGAGCUGUUCUCACCUGCCCCUAUCCUGCUCCCACGGCCAGCCCCAAACCCGGUGCCAUGGCCCCAGCGGCCCCAUCCACGGGCCAGGCUGCCAAAAAACCCUUCCAGAAGUGCCACAAGGUGUGUAAUUUGCUCUUAGCUCACCCGAGCAGGGGGUGGUUCAGGGCUUGGGUAGUGCAUGGCUCUAAGUACGCCAACAGCUCUACCUCGGUGUGGGUAAACAGCGAGGAGACAGCAGCUCCAUGCAGACCGCCUUGCCACAACUAAAUGACAGCCCAGGGUUUCUUUUCGCAGCCAACUUCCUCUGACGCUAGUUUGCUUUACAUUAGCAUCGGGUACUCCUCCAGCGUGUGAUCAAACGAGGCUCCUGGGUCUGCUCUCGGGAGAAUAAAUGUAUCUGUAACGCACCU